Molecule: long non-coding RNA, 417 nt
Organism: Pseudophryne corroboree (corroboree frog)
Lineage: Eukaryota; Metazoa; Chordata; Amphibia; Anura; Myobatrachidae
Exons: 3
Source: RefSeq, a predicted model, not a curated record
AGAGGAACAGGAGAGGUGCGCGCUCUCCUCGCCUCCCCCACAACAGCAGCAGCAGCAUGGGUACUGAAGCCAUUUCUGAGUAAUCCUCUGGUUCAGUGGAGUAAACUGGUCCGUAGCGGGAGCAAAACUCAAGCCAGUGAGACUGGAGACGUUGUCAAUGAAAAGGCAAACACCCACAUGCUUGAAAUUGAACAGCGUCUGCAGGGUGUGAUUAAGGCUAGGAAUCGCAUAAGAGGUCUGCCGCUGUCUUCUGAAGGACAUGUCGACUACCUAACUCAAGAGGCCACAGAUCAUGAAAACCAUCUGAGCCAUAUAUACCUUGGCUGGGCACCUUACAUGUGACAACUCUUCAUCAAGACUCACUGAGCCCAGACUGACUUCACGUUAGGAUUUACAUUCCACUAUGCCAAUCAGCAA